GUCUACAAUAAGCUGCCAUGGAGUAGUGCUCCGUGGAACACACAGCAUAGAGUAGCAGCAAAUUAACCUUUUCUGUGUGUGAACAGUGUGGAAGAUUGCUACAUCGUAGCUUGGGACUGCAUGUAGGCCAAGCUUUACAAAGAGCCAAGACUAUUGGAGUUGAAAAACAUCAGUGAUCCAGUAUAAUCACACUGGGAGAAGGGAAAAUGGUGAUGAAAUGUGCAGUCAGCAAUCUGGAUUGCAGAGGAAGACCUGUGGGUAUUCAUGGCAUGGAAUGGAGACUGGAAGCUGUCACACACAAAGGGAAAAAAAUCGGCAGACUGAGCAGCUUACUGGGAAAAUUUUAAAACUCUGGUUCAAUUUGAAGGUCAUUACAACAAGCAUUCAAUCUUGACCACUUUAAGAGAAAAUUACUUGUUCUGUAGAAACAUGUUAAAGAUAAUGGACACUCUCCAUGAGAUGGAAACACAAAACAUCCAGUGCUUCAAAAGAAGUCACUUUUGUAGCUUGGAAUAUUAGUGUUCAGAAAAUAUGGAGCAAACUCCUUGUGAUAGGGAUCCAGUGGAUUUCUUCAUCCACGUGCUUUGUCAAACUGACUGAUGAGAUUUGCACUAUUCAGCAUUUUUUUCUAUUGAGAAGGCUAUGCCCUUAGGGUAUUAUGACAGACAUUAAGAAAUACCUAAGUGAAAAGAGCAACUUUAAAGCCUCUUCCAUGACCCUAAAGAAAUUCUCACAAAAAUUUCUGAAUUAAUAUAAAAGUUAUUCAAACCAACCUGCAAGGCUGCGCUUUGUAAAUAUUAUAAGGUAAUUUUAUAUCUUCUGUGUUCUGUUUUGCUGAUUUGAUUGCUAAAGUGAACUUUCAACAAAAGGAAAAAAUCUAGUACAGCAGCCAAGGCUAUGGAAGGCCAAGAAUUGUGAGAAUUUGCGGCCAGGCCUGCACAGUGCUGAGCUAGCUGACUGGAUCUUGUGUUUAACUAGGUGAGUGUUUGUUUUACAAAAGUGUGUUUUACCUAUGAGUCUAGUACCCUCUAGACCUCAUUUUAAAGCUUGGUGACCUAUAACUAAAUCAUGAUCUGGGUUAGGCUUGGUUUCAGUGGCCAAAGUAACCAAUGCAGAUGUGAAGAAUCUACCAUACACAUGUCCUCUGAUAAUGAGAUGAAUCGUGUUUGGGUGGUACUUGUCCAGUUUUUCAGUUGUCUUCAUGUUUGGAAACUCUGGUUUACAUAGACAACUCGAAGAAAAGGGUGUUUGCCCCUGCAGGCACACCACUGAAUGUGCACUUGAAAUGGGAUGAGCUCUGCUGUAUAAAUGGCUAGAGCAGGCAGUGAAAUUAGUACAUCCAAUUGAA
Molecule: long non-coding RNA, 1348 nt
Organism: Passer domesticus (house sparrow)
Lineage: Eukaryota; Metazoa; Chordata; Aves; Passeriformes; Passeridae
Exons: 3
Source: RefSeq, a predicted model, not a curated record